AUCCAGCUGACGAGUACCAAAAUAAGACGAAAUGAGCGUCAAACUGGAU
Non-coding RNA from Schistosoma curassoni, 49 nucleotides. The record is from Rfam. NCBI's taxonomy places the organism in Eukaryota, Metazoa, Platyhelminthes, Trematoda, Strigeidida, Schistosomatidae.